Molecule: long non-coding RNA, 234 nt
Organism: Hibiscus syriacus
Lineage: Eukaryota; Viridiplantae; Streptophyta; Magnoliopsida; Malvales; Malvaceae
Exons: 2
Source: RefSeq, a predicted model, not a curated record
UGGACUCGGAGAGAAAUUGUAGUUAACUAAACAUACCCCAUGGUCAUGAUCUAAAGAAGUUUUCAGGUAUUAACAAGCUCUAAGCUGUCUAAACUAAUAUUCAUUCAAUAGACUUACUUAUUCUAAGAUUCCUAUUAUCAGAACUCGUAGAGAGAUGAUGAAUCAGUUUCCUAAAUUUCUUUCAAGGAAAUUCAAAAGAUUCAAAUUAAAAGAUCAAGUCAAGCAAUUAGGCAA